RNAcentral lists this unclassified non-coding RNA (329 nucleotides) under soil metagenome. Its description in RNAcentral is "partial contains 5.8S ribosomal RNA, internal transcribed spacer 2, and large subunit ribosomal RNA". The stretch from base 1 to 120 matches the Rfam family "5.8S ribosomal RNA", at positions 35 to 154 of the family's 154-position model. The record is from RNAcentral.
GAUGAAGAACGCAGCGAAAUGCGAUAAGUAAUGUGAAUUGCAGAAUUCAGUGAAUCAUCGAAUCUUUGAACGCACAUUGCGCCCUCUGGUAUUCCGGGGGGCAUGCCUGUUCGAGCGUCAUUAUAACCACUCAAGCUCUCGCUUGGUAUUGGGGUUCGCGGUUCCGCGGCCCCUAAAAUCAGUGGCGGUGCCUGUCGGCUCUACGCGUAGAAAUACUCCUCGCGAUUGAGUCCGGUAGGUCUACUUGCCAGCAACCCCCAAUUUUUACAGGUUGACCUCGGAUCAGGUAGGGAUACCCGCUGAACUUAAGCAUAUCAAUAAGCGGAGGA